ACCGUCCAACAUGGUAUUUGUUCUUCAAAGACCACUGUCAAACCUCUCCCCAUCUCAGAGGACAAGGAGUUCAGCCACAGGGAUGAGCUCAGCAAGAACCCAGCUAAGUCAUCAAGCUGUUGAAGGAAAGGCCUGCCACUUCAUCCAUCCAGACAUUGACAUUCUCGUGUGACCUCAUGGAGCAUGGUCAGAGCUCAACAAGCUACCUGUGACUCUGCGAUUAAGUUCUGGCCAAUGCGAUGUAGGGGGAUGUGUCAGGUCGGACAUCAUGGAAGUUUCCUUAAAAGA
Panthera uncia (snow leopard) is the source of this 288-nucleotide long non-coding RNA. RefSeq lists it as uncharacterized. NCBI's taxonomy places the organism in Eukaryota, Metazoa, Chordata, Mammalia, Carnivora, Felidae. The record is from RefSeq and is a predicted model, not a curated record. The transcript has 3 exons.